UACGUAGGGGGCAAGCGUUGUCCGGAAUCAUUGGGCGUAAAGAGCGUGUAGGCGGCUCGGUAAGUCCGCUGUGAAAGUCCAGGGCUCAACCCUGGAAUGCCGGUGGAUACUGUCGGGCUAGAGUCCGGAAGAGGCGAGUGGAACUCCUGGUGUAGCGGUGAAAUGCGCAGAUAUCAGGAGGAACACCGGUGGCGAAGGCGGGUCUCUGGGCCGAUACUGACGCUGAGGAGCGAAAGCGUGGGGAGCGAACAGG
This 253-nucleotide ribosomal RNA is filed under the name uncultured bacterium. RNAcentral describes it as "partial 16S ribosomal RNA". It matches the Rfam family "Bacterial small subunit ribosomal RNA", at positions 524 to 776 of the family's 1533-position model. The record is from RNAcentral.